This 482-nucleotide ribosomal RNA is filed under the name uncultured bacterium. RNAcentral describes it as "partial 16S ribosomal RNA". It matches the Rfam family "Bacterial small subunit ribosomal RNA", at positions 28 to 523 of the family's 1533-position model. The record is from RNAcentral.
GACGAACGCUGGCGGCGUGCUUAACACAUGCAAGUCGAGCGGUAAGGCCCCUUCGGGGGUACUCGAGUGGCGAACGGGUGAGUAACACGUGGGUGAUCUGCCCUGCACUUUGGGAUAAGCCCGGGAAACUGGGUCUAAUACCGAAUAUGACCACUUCUUGGAUGUUGUGGUGGAAAGCUUUUGCGGUGUGGGAUGAGCCUGCGGCCUAUCAGCUUGUUGGUGGGGUAAUGGCCUACCAAGGCGGCGACGGGUAUCCGGCCUGAGAGGGUGUACGGACACAUUGGGACUGAGAUACGGCCCAGACUCCUACGGGAGGCAGCAGUGGGGAAUAUUGCACAAUGGGCGCAAGCCUGAUGCAGCGACGCCGCGUGGGGGAUGAAGGCCUUCGGGUUGUAAACUCCUUUCGCUAUCGACGAAGCCACUUGUGGUGACGGUAGGUAGAUAAGAAGCACCGGCUAACUACGUGCCAGCCGCCGCCGUAA